Molecule: long non-coding RNA, 442 nt
Organism: Polypterus senegalus (gray bichir)
Lineage: Eukaryota; Metazoa; Chordata; Cladistia; Polypteriformes; Polypteridae
Exons: 3
Source: RefSeq, a predicted model, not a curated record
CGCAAAACCCCUCCGGGACGGCCAAUAGCUAUGCUGAGCUUAAGUACACCCGUUGCCGACUCACCAUUGCGCCGCACUUUAAACUGCCUGCACUGGGCAGGCUGCGAGGACAGCGGCGUGUAAAAAUGAAUACAUGCGGAGGAGCCGGUAUUGGCCAUUAUACCGGCUCCACGUGUGUCCAGACACACCGCGCCUCACAACGCUCACCCACUAGACAGCCCCGCGUUCCCACGACAGCGCCCUCAACACACAAACGACUGCAUCUGCUCCAGCCACUGUUUCUCAGUUGCUGAACCCUCUCGAGGAAGAAUGCUUUGUGUUCUUUUGAUCUGAAGAAUGGUGCCAAAGCAGGAUGCUUGCCCUUGUCACUGUUCGUACUGUAUCUUGUGUGUUUGUGUACUGAAGAAAAAGCCCCUCUUUUGGAUAAAGCCUUAAAUAUGUU